GUGACCUCAAAUCAGGUAGGAUUACCCGCUGAACUUAAGCAUAUCAAUAAGCGGAGGAAAAGAAACUAACAAGGAUUCCCCUAGUAACUGCGAGUGAAGCGGGAAAAGCUCAAAUUUAAAAUCUGGCAGUCUUUGGCUGUCCGAGUUGUAAUCUAGAGAAGUGCUAUCCGCGCUGGACCGUGUACAAGUCUCCUGGAAUGGAGCGUCAUAGAGGGUGAGAAUCCCGUCUUUGACACGGACUACCAGGGCUUUUGUGAUGUGCUCUCAAAGAGUCGAGUUGUUUGGGAAUGCAGCUCAAAAUGGGUGGUAAAUUCCAUCUAAAGCUAAAUAUUGGCGAGAGACCGAUAGCGAACAAGUACCGUGAGGGAAAGAUGAAAAGAACUUUGGAAAGAGAGUUAAACAGUACGUGAAAUUGCUGAAAGGGAAACGCUUGAAGUCAGUCGCGUUGUCCAGGGAUCAACCUUGCUUUUGCUUGGUGCACUUUCUGGUUGACGGGUCAGCAUCAAUUUUGACCAUUGGAAAAAGGUCAGGGGAAUGUGGCAUCUUCGGAUGUGUUAUAGCCCUUGGUUGCAUACAAUGGUUGGGAUUGAGGAACUCAGCACGCCGCAAGGCCGGGUUUUUAACCACGUACGUGCUUAGGAUGCUGGCAUAAUGGCUUUAAUCGACCC
This 668-nucleotide ribosomal RNA is filed under the name Cortinarius obtusus. Its description in RNAcentral is "eukaryotic LSU rRNA". It matches the Rfam family "Eukaryotic large subunit ribosomal RNA", at positions 1 to 650 of the family's 3401-position model. RNAcentral also lists the same sequence under 1 other name. The record is from RNAcentral. Lineage: Eukaryota; Fungi; Basidiomycota; Agaricomycetes; Agaricales; Cortinariaceae.